Molecule: transfer RNA, 76 nt
Filed under: Bacillus cereus
Lineage: Bacteria; Bacillati; Bacillota; Bacilli; Caryophanales; Bacillaceae
Description: tRNA-His
Rfam family: tRNA
About the family: Transfer RNA (tRNA) molecules are approximately 80 nucleotides in length. Their secondary structure includes four short double-helical elements and three loops (D, anti-codon, and T loops).
Source: RNAcentral
GCGAUUGUGGUGAAAUGGUUAACACACUGGAUUGUGGUUCCAGCAUUUGUAGGUUCAACCCCUACCAAUCGCCCUA